This 497-nucleotide ribosomal RNA is filed under the name uncultured bacterium. Its description in RNAcentral is "partial 16S ribosomal RNA". It matches the Rfam family "Bacterial small subunit ribosomal RNA", at positions 28 to 507 of the family's 1533-position model. The record is from RNAcentral.
GAUGAACGCUGGCGGCGUGCCUAAUACAUGCAAGUCGAGCGAACAGACGAGGAGCUUGCUCCUCUGACGUUAGCGGCGGACGGGUGAGUAACACGUGGAUAACCUACCUAUAAGACUGGGAUAACUGCGGGAAACCGGAGCUAAUACCGGAUAAUAUAUUGAACCGCAUGGUUCAAGAGUGAAAGACGGUUUUGCUGUCACUUAUAGAUGGAUCCGCGCCGCAUUAGCUAGUUGGUAAGGUAACGGCUUACCAAGGCAACGAUGGCUAGCCGACCUGAGAGGGUGAUCCGCCACACUGGAACUGAGACACGGUCCAGACUCCUACGGGAGGCAGCAGUAGGGACUCUUCCGAAAUGGGCGAAAGCUUGACGGAGCAACGCCGCGUGAGUGAUGAAGGUCUUCGGAUCGUAAAACUCUGUUAUUAGGGAAGAACACAUGUGUAAGUAACUAUGCACGUCUUGACGGUACCUAAUCAGAAAGCCACGGCUAACUACGUG